Molecule: long non-coding RNA, 7103 nt
Organism: Gallus gallus (chicken)
Lineage: Eukaryota; Metazoa; Chordata; Aves; Galliformes; Phasianidae
Exons: 4
Source: RefSeq, a predicted model, not a curated record
GCCCCUGCUUCAUGUUGCAGCUUGUUUUACUUUUUUCUUCUUUUUUUAAUAAACACCAAUGAGGAAAACAAUCUCAGAGCAGAUCCACCCCAGUCAAAAGACUUAAAGUAAAACAGAUCCCAAAGUAUUUCACAAUUAUUAUUUCAUCAGCGUGAACAAGAACAACAGCUGACCCACAAUAUCAAGAAAAACAAACCAAGCACACCAAACACAAGCAUGAAGUUCCAGACAAGCUAAGAAUGGUUACUGUUCUCUAGAGACCACGUGUUGACAAGAAUCUAGGAUCUUCAGGCAACAAUGUUCAGUGGCAGAGAGCUCCAGCCCAAAGGAAAGGCAGCAAAAAUCUGCAAUUCCUGCUGUUUCAGGUACUGAAGAGACAGAAAGACGCUGAGAGCCGGAGGCAGUGAGCAGUUCCAACCCUUCCAGUAUCCAGCCAGCUGGGUUUGCAGUGUGCUUGCUUACAGAUCCAAGAGCUGCAACGCAACCUCAGCCCAGCGCUUCCUGCACACUUAUUUCCUGCUCAUCACAUGCUCUGCUGCAAUGGCUGAGGAAGGCUCUGACACUGGUCUCCCAAUGGCCUCCGCAACUUUGGAUCCAACCUGCAGGACAUUAAACACUUCAAGGCCCUAAACACAGUUGGCUACAUCCGGAUGUUCUGUCAGAUUCCUGUUAUUUCCUCAGCUCAUCUCUACUGUGAAAAGUAUCAGUGCUGUUUGGAUCAGAACCACUAGACAUAAGCUUCUCCCUCGUUGAAAGAACAGAGAUGACCACACAACACACAGCUGAGACUAUCACAGAUCACUGUUCUGGUUUCAUUAAAUUCACAUGACAGAUUUCAUUUAAAAUAGCCGAUGUCCAGCUUUUACUCUUAUUUCUAAAUAAUCUAACUUUUACUCUAUACCACUCAAAGGAAAAAAAAAACGUUUGUCACAGCAGGCAUCACCACCAACUCACUGAUUAACAAGAAGACUUUCUCCCUUGCAGGGAUACAGAAGAGGCCGUAGUCAACUUCAUGAGCCCUCAGGCUGAAAAGCAGUACUCCCCAAUACUUGCAUUUAGUGUUUUUUGUAUUCCGAACAACUAAUGGUCUUUAAUACACAUCUUAAAACUCCACCUGGGAAAUGCAGGACUGACUUCAAACUCUUGUUUCUGUGCUGAAGGGCAUUUUGUUCACCUCUCACCUUACACCUCAAAAGGUAUAUAAUUGCCUCAAAGUAUGUGAAUAACUCGAUAUUCCUACUAGCAUUCUAUAUAGAGAAAGGAUUAGGCUUAUAAAAACUGCUUACUUUACAAUGCAGAGUUUCUUUUCUGCUCUCAGCAGUUUAUCAGAAUUUUUAUUACUGCAAUGCUGAGAACUUGCUUCCCCAGUACAAGCUCCAGAAGAAAUAAAAAAGAACCACUUAAAGAGGAGAUCACAUGGACAAAGGAACUUGAAAUUAAACUGAUCACAUGCACAUUCUUCUCAUUUGGCCUUCUGGAAGAAUUCAAGUUACUCCUUUCAGUUCAGCAGAUGUCAGAGAAAAGACGAGGGGCAUGAAGACGGACAGCAUCAGCACAGCUCAUUCACCUGGUUAACGUUCUCACCAGGUGCGUCAGCGUCAGGCAGGAUAUUCACAAGGAGACAGGCAGAACAGAUUGCUCAGCAUUUGCAGCAGUGGGGAGAGGAGAAUAAAGACAUCUGAUGAAACACUGCUUGUGUUGUAGGAACAGAGCAACAGAGAACAGCUAGAUCAGCAUUUCACUGCAGAAGUACUUACACGUCCUGCUGCCCAAGAACCUGCAGUCAUCAUGCUCCAGGGAUUUUGCUGUAUAUAUUGCCACCAGAUUAAAUGGAGAACAUGCUCUUAAUAGUGCCAGUGAGAGAGGAGUACAAAGUAAAGCAGCAACUCUUACUCAUACACAGGAACAUCAGAAAUGCAGAGCAGAGAGUGCGCAUACAGAUAUGCACCAGAGAAGGAGCUGAACACGGCAGAGACUAGUGGAUCCAGCCAAGGAGUUUGGUAAGACUUGGACACUGACUAGAGGAUGAGCAAAGGACAACUGAGAAGUGCUACUGAGGCUAAGAGCUAAGCCCAGAAACUUGACAAUACAGCAAAGAACACAAAAAGUACACUACACAGGCAAACUCUGUGCUAAGUUAAUGCAUGAAUGCAUACAAUAAGAUGACAGAAAGAUUUCACAAGGGACAACAAAACAAAGCACCUACACAAGUUUCAGAAAUGCAUACCACCAUCAUUAGGUAUCUAAGGCUUAUAAUUCAACACGCUGCAGCUAUAAGAAUGCUAGGACUGUUCUUACUACUGUUUCUACCCAAAGAGAGUUAACACGAUAUCACAGUAUCACAGAAGUGUUCACUCCAAUUAACAAAAAUAUCUGUAGAUUUAUAUUGAUCAAUGCAAUGCUUUAGUAAAGACAAAACAGUAGAAAUUAUGGUGGAUUCUUAAGACAAAUCUCCAUUAGAAAAAUGGCAGAAUACGUCAAAAAUAGAACCACUUAGCUGUCAGUGUUUGAUUACAAGAAAAAUCACAAAGACCUGAAACAGACUACCAGACACUUUAACCAUUAGCAGUGCAAAGAAACUGGAAGGAACUCUCUUCCAAACUACAAAACAGAAUGCACGUAUUAAAAGGUUUGCUAAGGAACAUUUUUUUUCCCUUCUCUUCCACUCACACGCAGUAUCAGAAUAGAACAGUAGCUGUACUGCUGUAAACUGCUUUAGACUCAAAGAAUGCAUGAUGGGGCCCAUGUCCCAAAUAGUCAGAAAGAGCCCGUAAGGUGUGCAGGACUACUAACAUCAAAAGUUCUUGCUGUGGCAAAAAAGAGACAAAUCUCACUGGAAGGCAGCUGGAGGACAAAUACUUAACUGUGAAGGAGAAAGAUACUCUGGAAUUUUCCCCACAAUAAUAGCUCAAGAGACAGAGCCACACUCUUCCAAGACAGAAGCAAAGCUGAAGGAAUCAAGCAUGUACAACUGAUUAUAUUUUGAAUAUCCAUCUGAUCCAAAGCAAAGAGCAUCUCAGGUACAAACUUUAUUAUACAAGCAAGGUAAUCCCCAGAUUCUUCACUCAGCCACGUAAGUGAAAAUACCAGAAACAGUCCAACUAGAAUCAAAGACAGCAAAAAUAGACACACACAUAUCUUUCACUGAUUCUUAGUUCUCAUUCUCUUCGCCCCAGUGAUGACAGGCUGACAGAUAGAAGGAAAUACACAUCCACCCCACAGUCUUUCGAUACAAGUAAAUACAAAAAAAUCAAGUGUUUAUUGGAAGUCUGCAUGAAGGCACAGAUGAGCUUGAUUACAGACACAUUGUAACAAUUACAAAGAUAUGUAAACACGUUGAGAUAUACAACAAAGCAGUAAUACAGCUAAUACAGUGUUAAAAAAGAACAACAAACUUUCGUAUCUGAGGUUCGUUCAAUUAUAAGAUCUGAUUCACACCAACACAGCGUCAUGUUUUUAAGUCAUCACUUGGAUUCACACUCAACAAAUCUGCGCUUUGACUGUUGUUAUUAACUGGUGUAUUUAUAAAUUGGAUCCAAAUUUGAACAGGCUUCCUUCCCUAGGACCAGGAAAACAAAGGAAUAACCAGCUAGACACCCAUCCAGCCUAGAAUGAGGCUUCAGAGAUUCCCUAAACAUGUAAGAGCAAUCACCGAUGUACUGAAAUUAAAUAUAAGCUUCAGAAAAGCUCAAGGACGUUAAUUCCACUUUCACUUGCAUUUGAGGAAAUUGCUGAAUUUCUGCAGGAAAGGUGAUUUUUUUUCUUCCUCCACAGGAGGCUUAGAUUUCAUCUGAAACACCUGCCAAAACAAAAGUCAGCAAUCACAAACUAAAGUGCCUUGGACAGCUUAGGCUUUACCACUAGAAUAAAACGCCUUUGUUUACAGAUACAAUAUUAAUUCAUAUAGUGAGAAAACUCACCUUUGCAAGUAGAAUACUAUUUCCAAUAUUUCUGUGGAAAGGGGCAUCACUUUUUUUAUUAUUAUUAUUAGAUACCAGAGUCAAGAACUUAAAAAAAAAAAACAACUGCAACACAGCUCUUUGAAAAAUGUUGUGGUUCAGGCCUAGCCAAAGAGUACUCUGAGCAGCAACUUACUACAGGGACACACAGUUUUCUCAACCUCAACCACCUGGCCAACUCUCCACUCCCCAUCUACAAAAGCUUUAUAACCUUUGGAGCCCAGCUGCAGUGAGGAAAGACUCCUGUCUGGGUAAGAUAUGCUGAGAAAAACCUAGCAUAGCUACAUUUCUACCGACUCUGCAGCCACAUCAUCCCAACAUAAAGAUGAGGUAGUACUUUUCUUUGGAGCCCAACUAGUUGAACAGGAAAGGAACAAAGACUAUUCUCCCUACUGUAGCAGCUGUCUGUUAGUGCAGCACCAAAUUUCUGCACUUUUCCCCUCUUCUUCAGGGCACAUUACUAAUGCAAGCACAGGAAUAGCUGCUUAAAAGAGAAAUCAUAUUAUGAGCGUACAAUCCCACCUGAACUAAGACUGAAUCAUAAAGGCCACAUUAUAGCACACUGAGUGACUUCCUCCAAUCCACAAAGUGGCACUGUUUCUUAACCUCUAUUUGUACUGGGACUAGUGGUUUUUACCCAAAGAGAACAUGAAAGAUAUCCUGAGUACUUAUAACAGUGAAAUGCAGAAUUUAAAAAGCAAAAAUAGAAAAAUAAAAAUUAACAAAUCUAGUCCAAAUCCAAAAAAAGGUUGGGAGAGAAAUUCAGCUCAUUUGAGAACCGACGAAACCAGAUUGUCUCUAUGCAUGCAGUUCAUUUGGAACUUAUGGGCUGCAUUUUCCCUCCCUUCAAGAGGGCAGCUCCUUCCCUUUUAAGGAGGUUGUUGUAAUGUACACACGUAUCAAGAUUUCAUAGCUUACACCAAUAAGCCUUCUGGUUUUUUUUAUGAGAUGGCUUGAACUGGAGAAAUAUGCUCUGCAUAGUUCAUACUCCGUAGACUCCCACGGAUCAAAAAGAAACAAUCUGCCACGACUAAAACAAAGGAAACAUUGGAAAAAAUGGAAUAGUAUUAGAACUUAUACUGCUUGUAAAACUAAACACUAGAGGGAAAAAAAAAAAAAAAGGGAAAAGAAAAACAACCAAACCACUGUAAUACUUUAAAGAGGUCCCUGGAUGCAUCCUCUUAAUAAGCAAUAACCAAUAUUGAGAAUGAAAGACUGUGACCUUUGAUGUCUAAAGUAGCCAAGGCUCCAUGAUGAGCUUCCAUAUUUAACUAAAUAUACGGAGUCUAAGCUGUCUCCUGUUAACAGUGCAGCUUGCACAGAUUCCAGGAAGCUCCAACAUUUUUGCUGCUUCCAAGACUGUACUUUUCAUUCAGUUGAAGUGCACAGGAAUUCCACUCAGAUGGAUUCAUGAACCUGAGCAUUUUAACAGGACAAGGAGUCCUGUUUAGCUCUGGUACAGCAAGACAGAAAAGCAAUGUUACUUUCCUGGGAAACUCUGAUAAUCCUUUCUGGCCUUGGGAAUAUGCUCUUAGAGGUGAUUAUAAUUAAAACAAUCUUAUCUGGCUUUUAGCUGGAAGACUAUCUCUGAACAAUCCCAUUUCUUCUUCCAAAGAACUUCUCUGGAACAAGUUCUGGAUAAAAUGAACUCAAUGCUCUACAGAGAUCAGCUGCAUUCCAGUGUCGAAACCAGAUCCCUUGAGAGAAAAAGUAAAAAAGAAAGCUGUUUGGUUGUCAGAGAAGUAAGUACUGCUGAAACAGCCACACCAUUUAUUUAUUUAUUUUAAACCUUUAGCUAUAAACAGGCACACUCACAAAAUGUUCAUCACAGCUAAAAGUUGCUUCUGUGACCUUGCACAACUCGCGAUGCUGCAUCGUGUAACCCACAGGCAUCAGAAAUGAUGAGGACAGCAGAAACCUACCCGGAUGCCUCUGAGAUAAAAUAAAGAAGCUAAGCCAGACCUCUCUGUCAAGGCAGUUUCUCUAGCCUAUGGGAGAUUCUCACAAAAUCACCACUGCAGAACGAUAAUUCAUGACCAUAAUUCACAAGGAAAACUGAAAAUCCAUUUACAUUUAUUAGGAGAUGGUUGUGCACAAUUCCUUAUCUUCUUCAAAAAGUCUACAAAUAGAGUUCAACACUUCUGAUUGCAAGCACAUGUUUCUUCAACGUUCUUAAUUAGGUAAGGCCAAUUUAGUGGCUUGUUACAUUUUCAGGAUUUAGUAUACAUUUGGCAGUUCUUUACUUUCACCUGGUUAACAGUCUCAUUGGAAUAGUACGGAGAGUUCACUAAGACACUUCAUAACAGCAGCUGAACUUGAGUUACACAAACUCAGUUUUGGAAUAUGCAUCAAAUGUUAUUCGAGGCAAAUUUCCAUUUUAAGGUCUUUGUACAACAUCAUUAAAGGCUUCCCCCCACCCACCAGCAUUUAUACUAGUACUACUAUGGGCUCACACUCCAUAGAGCCAUACGACCAAAAAUCUCAAAGCACUUCAGAAAGGAGGACACCAUUUUUAAUAGUGAUAUGGUCGAGCUGGAAUCCUGCUUAUAAAAGAAUAUAUUUUUUUUCUCUGUCUUCUGCUUACAAAACCAAUCCUACCUAUCUUGACCUUAGUCUCACCUCUGACUGCCUGUCAUUUUCUCACAUGCAAUCCUAUCACUGAUUCAGGAGCUGUGUUUAAUUGCAAUGCUCACAGCUGCACUUCCUCUGUGGAAAAAUGAGCACCUGCGAUGGGCAAUUAUUUUCAGAUGGAAGCACUGGUCGAAUUGUAGAUCUGCCACAAUCUUGAGUAUCACUUUAUCAGAAAGUCACUGUCAUAACUAACAUAAUUUGAUAAUGCACUUGAUCCCAUACUGGUUUAACAAGUGUAAUAGGCUAGGUAUGCAUUUCUCUAUAUUCUCUAUGAGCCGAAACUACAUAGAUACAAAUUCUAGUUUUGCCUUAAGCUGAACCUUUCACAACAUUGUUUUAACUUACUACUUCGAUUUAGAGCACUGAUUUUAUACAGAUAUUCAGUCUCCAAUUCUUACUGAAUAGUUGAGUGGCAAACAUGGAAAAUAUACGUACAAGUGUUACUAUACUACCAGAAUGCUGUACUUCCUUCUCAAAAGUGUCCUUAAUAAAGCAUUAGGCAUGUCAAACAAA